GACGAACGCUGGCGGCGUGCUUAACACAUGCAAGUCGAACGGACUUCUGGGGUUCUGGCUUUUUUGGUUGGGGUUCUGGGGGUUAGUGGCGAACGGGUGAGUAACACGUGAGUAACCUGCCCUUCACUUCUGGAUAACCGCUUGAAAGGGUGGCUAAUACGGGAUGUUUCUGGGUCUGUCGCAUGGCGGGUUCGGGAAAGAUGGCACUGUUUGGUGUUUUUGGUGGGGGAUGGGCUCGCGGCCUAUCAGCUUGUUGGUGGGGUGAUGGCCUGCCAAGGCUUUGACGGGUAGCCGGCCUGAGAGGGUGGGCGGUCACACUGGGACUGAGAUACGGCCCAGACUCCUACGGGAGGCAGCAGUGGGGAAUAUUGCACAAUGGGCGCAAGCCUGAUGCAGCGACGCCGCGUGAGGGAUGGAGGCCUUCGGGUUGUGAACCUCUUUCGCCAGUGAGGAAGGCCUUGCCCGUGUGGUGGGGUUGACGGUAGCUGGGUUAAUUGAAGCGCGGC
Molecule: ribosomal RNA, 506 nt
Filed under: Actinomyces gerencseriae
Lineage: Bacteria; Bacillati; Actinomycetota; Actinomycetes; Actinomycetales; Actinomycetaceae
Description: bacterial SSU rRNA
Rfam family: Bacterial small subunit ribosomal RNA
Source: RNAcentral